AUAAAACAGCUUUGGGCCACAUAUAACAUUACACUUAUAUACAACAUGUAUAUUUAGAACACGACAACCCUAAACCUAAUUAAUUUCGUCCUCUUUACACAGCCGCCUCAACUGGUACAUCUUUAUGGCAUGACUCCGCUACCAUGUCCUUGGCCCCAUACAUGACGUCACCGCCACCGCCACCUGAUCCUUGUCCAUUACCGUCAUCAUCAACCUCCCCUAUACAUUAGCCCUAAAAUCUUGCAUCUCGAAUCUUGUCUUCGGCAUUAAUAUCCGCCAACCAGCAGCAACUGAAGUUACACCACCAGCCGUCAGGCAGCAACCAGCAACUACUUUUUCUGCAACACUACUGAUAACUUAGGCAACAGUCGGCGACGGUCUAACCAUCUCCAACAAUUAUCCCCGAAGCAGCAUCUAGCAUGUAAGAAAAUUUUUGUUCUUGUUUUAGAAUCUGUAGCACUUUUAGUUUGUGGUACCGAUUUCCGUUUGUAUUUGUGUUAGUAAUUAGAAAAUUUACUUGUGUUUUGUAUUUUUAAAAAGGAAUAAAUUUGUCUAUUUUUCUGUUUCUGAUCAAAACUGGGUUUUUAAAUGUAUCAUGCUCUCUUCAAAAUACUCUUUCUUAUAAAGUUUCAUUAUUUAGUAAUCAAGGUUCGAUUAUAAGAAUCUAUGAACAUGGAUGUUUCGAUUUUGUAUCUAAGAUUGGGUUGUAAAGGCUUCCAUCAAACAAUAAGAACUAAUUUACAUGUGUCUUUGUUUCGUUCCUAUAUACUUUGUUUUUAAUGUAUUCUCUAUCUCGAAGUUUAUAACUUGCUUGUGAUUUAAUGAUUUAGUUAAUAAUAAAAACAGACUUCUUACAUCCUUGAUUUACCUCUAUUACAACAUUGCAAAAAUAAAGAUACAUAAGUACUACUUUUGCAAUAUUCUUUCAUUAUUAAUAGACAUGGAAGAUUAUCCCACAUUCUCACGUAUGAAAUUGAUUCUAAAAAACUUCAAAGGGAAAAAAUCCAAACACAAAUGCUGGAUAUAUUCUUUUACAAAAUUGAAUUUACACACAUAUCAAACAUAAUUUACAUUGUGCAUUUUAUAUAUGUUAAUACUUGAUACAAAUCUGCAAAGAUACGUUAUUAUGAACACUUUAAGUAACAGCAAUAACCACUCUCUUACAAUACAAAUUACAAAAAUCACAAAUUUGAAUUUUUUUUUACAGAAAAGAGCUAUUGAUGAAACAAAUACAAGUUGAAUCUAGAUACAACGUUCACGACAUGAAACAAAGAGAAGGAAUGGUAUCCGAUUUCAACAAAACUACAGAAUGGUGCUAUUGAUUUGAUGUGAGGCAUUAGAAACAUCCGGGGAGUUAUAAGUGGGGGAGAGACUUGUAGUUAAGAUGAUUAAAGAAAUGACUGUGAAAGUGGCUUUAUUUAUUCAUGCUAAGAUGAAGUUUGAUUGGUUGAAUUUUGUUCACACGGAUGAAUAACUUAAUGAAUGGUUUUGAUGGUAUUAAGAUAAAAUUAAGGGUCAAGAUGUCCUCUACGUGUGAGAGUCAAUGUGCUUUCAAGAGAUGAAUUUGAUUGGUUGCUUUUGUUUCACAUGGAUACUCAUCUUACACCAUUUAUUUUGAAAUCAAAGGUCAUAAUGUCUUCUCCUUGUUUUUUAAGACAUUGUCUUAAAAUGGUGGGGCCCUUAAUUAUAUACCCUUUAUAGAUG
RNAcentral lists this long non-coding RNA (1704 nucleotides) under Lactuca sativa (garden lettuce). RNAcentral describes it as "long non-coding RNA (LSAT_LNC005672)". Lineage: Eukaryota; Viridiplantae; Streptophyta; Magnoliopsida; Asterales; Asteraceae. The record is from RNAcentral.